GAUCUUCAGGGCGGGGUGAAAGUCCCCACCGGCAGUUAAAGUCUGCGACCCGCUUCGGCGGCUGAUCCGGUGAGAUUCCGGAACCGACGGUUACAGUCCGGAUGGAAGAAGAUG
RNAcentral lists this non-coding RNA (114 nucleotides) under bovine gut metagenome. RNAcentral's name for it is "FMN riboswitch (RFN element)". It matches the Rfam family "FMN riboswitch aptamer (RFN element)". Rfam says of the family: The RFN element is a highly conserved domain that is found frequently in the 5'-untranslated regions of prokaryotic mRNAs that encode for flavin mononucleotide (FMN) biosynthesis and transport proteins. This element is a metabolite-dependent riboswitch that directly binds FMN in the absence of proteins. The record is from RNAcentral.